This is a long non-coding RNA of Tachysurus fulvidraco (yellow catfish), 1451 nucleotides long. RefSeq lists it as uncharacterized. Lineage: Eukaryota; Metazoa; Chordata; Actinopteri; Siluriformes; Bagridae. The record is from RefSeq and is a predicted model, not a curated record. The transcript has 2 exons.
CGACAAGAAGAUCGUUAAUGACCACAUCACAACCUUCACCUCCACCAUCUGCCUGAUGUUUGGCAGUUAUUACUGCUUUAACAUUCACUACCCAGUGGAACUACGAUCAACACUGGAGUUUCUCCAACGGUGUUUCUUUUCCAUAAAUCCUGAGAGAGGCACCAAGGUUGAAUCCAAGAAGAAAAAAGUGUUGUCAGUCAAUCCCAGAGUCCUCACUCUCAUCUCAGACAUUGCUGACCAUGAGUGGAUCUAGUACUAAAUAGUGAAAAAUUUGUAAUGUCCGCAACACUUUUUAAACUCCCAUCUUUAUUAAUUAAUUAAAAAGCAACGUUUCGACCCAGUUGGGUCUUCUUCAGGUGAAUCAUUUAAACAAAUUUUUUACUUUAACAGUUUUUGUCCUGCACCUGCCAGAAGGUGGGAUGUGCACACAAUUACUGAUUUAACAGGUUUUGGAUCUAGUACUACCCCUCUUGUUGUGGACAGUGUGAUAAAGGUGUGUUACAGACUCUACAGAUGUUUUUGUUGUUGAAACAAUUGUUACACUUCUGUAUGUCAUGUGAAAAGUUUUUACCGAUUUGGACUUUUACUAAACAAGACUUGUUAAAGUAGCUGUUAAUUGUUUUUGCUUGUUAGUUCCAGGAGUUUCUUGGAUUAUAAAUUUCUUACAUUAAUUGUGCAUUCUAAUGAUGUAUAAAGGUGGCUGCAUGUACAUCACUAGCAUUUUGUAAAUCAGAAACUUCUGUAAAGUUCUCUAUAAAGUGUAAAGGGGUUUGUUUUCCUUUUUUUUUCAAUUACAUGAUGCAGUUUGAAGAUGUACAGUUUCAGCUUUACUGCACAGUUCUGUGCUUAAAAUAAGUCUGUUACGUUUCAUUACGUAAUUGUGUAUGUUUUGGGAUGUCUUUGUAGUGUUUUCUUCUCCCUUGUUUUCUCUCUCUCUUUUUUUCUCUCUGCUAAGCAGCGCUUCAAACCAUCCGCAGCUGAUAGCAAUUUGCGGCAGCGGCUGACCUGCUAUACGGCGUGUCGCAGAUAUAAAACAGCAGAGACACAGCUCACAGAAACCUCCGUGAAGUUCGCACCCCAUAAAAAGAAAUAAUCACCAAAACUGUGCCAUUCGUUUGUGCUGAUUUGUGCCGCAAAAACGAACGUUUGUGUUGAUUUGGUGUUUGAGAUAUUAAACAUUAUUUUUUGACUGUGUGUCGUGACACGGUCACGCUUGUGCUUGUGUGGUGCUGCUUUUACUGUUUGCGUGUUUUUCCCCACUUUAACUGUGGAGUUUAGCAUUUUAGAUCUGUGCUUGAAAUUGUCAGGUAAUUUAUUUCGUAAUGUUUUCUUUCUUAGAUAAUCUCCAAUGCACUGUGAUCUUACAUCUUACCUGCAAUAUACUGUAACUUCUCUGUACUAAUAUUGUAAGAGGACUGAUGGAUUUUGUCCAAUAAAAAUGCGGAAAAAUA